UCACCUGGGGAUUAAACACACAACACCAGGUUCACUUAGCAACAAACACUGAUUUCAGUCACUUGAAAAUCCUAGAUGUACAGUCCCUGUGGGGAGAGCAGGGGGGCAGGACACGAGGGUUGUGGAGCCCAGGAGUCCACCCAUCCCCUCCCACUGCACCCUCCCUGCAGCAAGAAGGCCAUAUGGUACAGUGGUUAGGCCCACUGCUCUGGAGGCAGAAUCUGUCCUGGGGACACAUCUGACACCUGUCUCUGACAGUAUGACAGUUGAUAGUAUGACCUUGGAAAAGUUAUCUCUCUGAGCCUCACUCUUCUCAUCACUAAAAUGGGAACAACAGAACCGACCACAUAAGAUAAUCGUGAGAAUUGAGUUGAAGGGUAGAAGAAGCACACCUGGCAGGCAGUGAAUGGUUAUAAAUGGCAACCACAGUUCCUAUCUUCCUUAGUGUCCUGUGUCUGGGCUUUUGCUACCUCUUGGUGUCCUUUGUUCGAGGGGAUAAAUUAUCUUAUUUAGUCUUCACUUCAACCCAUUUCCAUAUGAGGAAACUGACCUCAGGGAGGUGGGUUCUGACCUAUUCAAGGUAACUCGCUGCAGGGAAGUAGGAAGCCCAAAGCUCAGCCCCCUGAGGCCAAGCAGUUCCCAAUGGGUGCCUGGAGGGCAAGGCCAGGGCCACCUGCUUUUCAAGGCUCUGUCACCUCUAUGGCAGAUCCAGGAAGACAGCAGGUGCUACAUAAAUGCAAAUGGAUCCAGACUGGACCCCUCAUGCCCAACUAUGGAUUCUGACCUGCAAGAGGACAACUAGGAACCAGGGCCCAAUCCGGCCAAGGCUCAGAUAUUUUGUUAUAGCAACAGAAAUGGACUAAGACGGCACCUGAACGCCUUGACUACCGUGUUGGCUUUGUCUCCUCAUCAGCUGCAUGACCCUGAGCCCAGUGACUUCAUUUCUCUGAGCCUUAGUUUCCUCAUCUGUAAAACUGGAUAAUUAGUGCCUGAUGGAAACAUUAUGAGAAUUAAAUAAGAUGUGCUAGGC
Molecule: long non-coding RNA, 1030 nt
Organism: Ictidomys tridecemlineatus (thirteen-lined ground squirrel)
Lineage: Eukaryota; Metazoa; Chordata; Mammalia; Rodentia; Sciuridae
Source: RefSeq, a predicted model, not a curated record